GAUGAACGCUGGCGGCGUGCUUAACACAUGCAAGUCGAACGAAGCAUUUGCUACAGAUUUUUUCGGAAUGAAGUUGCUUAUGACUGAGUGGCGGACGGGUGAGUAACGCGUGGGUAACCUGCCUUGUACUGGGGGAUAGCAGCUGGAAACGGCUGGUAAUACCGCAUAAGCGCACAAUGUUGCAUGACAUGGUGUGAAAAACUCCGGUGGUAUAAGAUGGACCCGCGUCUGAUUAGCUAGUUGGUGAGAUAACAGCCCACCAAGGCGACGAUCAGUAGCCGACCUGAGAGGGUGACCGGCCACAUUGGGACUGAGACACGGCCCAGACUCCUACGGGAGGCAGCAGUGGGGAAUAUUGCACAAUGGAGGAAACUCUGAUGCAGCGACGCCGCGUGAGUGAAGAAGUAAUUCGUUAUGUAAAGCUCUAUCAGCAGGGAAGAUAGUGACGGUACCUGACUAAGAAGCUCCGGCUAAAUACGUG
This 481-nucleotide ribosomal RNA is filed under the name uncultured bacterium. RNAcentral describes it as "partial 16S ribosomal RNA". It matches the Rfam family "Bacterial small subunit ribosomal RNA", at positions 28 to 507 of the family's 1533-position model. The record is from RNAcentral.